This 421-nucleotide ribosomal RNA is filed under the name Clostridioides difficile. Its description in RNAcentral is "bacterial LSU rRNA". It matches the Rfam family "Bacterial large subunit ribosomal RNA", at positions 1728 to 2160 of the family's 2925-position model. The record is from RNAcentral. Lineage: Bacteria; Bacillati; Bacillota; Clostridia; Peptostreptococcales; Peptostreptococcaceae.
CCGUAACUUAGGGAUAAGGGGUGCCACCCGCAGGUGGCCGCAGAGAAUAGGCCCAAGCGACUGUUGACCAAAAACAUAGGUGUCUGCUAAGUCGAAAGACGAUGUAUAGGAGCUGACGCCUGCCCGGGGCUGGAAGGUUAAGGGGAUCUGUUAGAGCAAUCGAAGCAGGGAACUUAAGCCCCAGUAAACGGCGGCCGUAACUAUAACGGUCCUAAGGUAGCGAAAUUCCUUGUCGGGUAAGUUCCGACCCGCACGAAAGGCGUAACGAUUUGGGCACUGUCUCAACAACAGACUCGGUGAAAUUGUAAUUCCGGUGAAGAUGCCGGAUACCUGCGACAGGACGGAAAGACCCCAUGGAGCUUUACUGUAGCUUGACAUUGGGUCUUGGUACUACAUGUACAGGAUAGGUGGGAGGCUUUGA